This 253-nucleotide ribosomal RNA is filed under the name uncultured bacterium. Its description in RNAcentral is "partial 16S ribosomal RNA". It matches the Rfam family "Bacterial small subunit ribosomal RNA", at positions 524 to 776 of the family's 1533-position model. The record is from RNAcentral.
UACGUAGGGUGCAAGCGUUAAUCGGAAUUACUGGGCGUAAAGCGUGCGCAGGCGGUAAUGUAAGACAGAUGUGAAAUCCCCGGGCUCAACCUGGGAACUGCAUUUGUGACUGCAUUGCUGGAGUGCGGCAGAGGGGGAUAGAAUUCCGCGUGUAGCAGUGAAAUGCGUAGAUAUGCGGAGGAACACCGAUGGCGAAGGCAAUCCCCUGGGCCUGUACUGACGCUCAUGCACGAAAGCGUGGGGAGCAAACAGG